Molecule: ribosomal RNA, 377 nt
Filed under: uncultured eukaryote
Lineage: Eukaryota
Description: partial 18S ribosomal RNA
Rfam family: Eukaryotic small subunit ribosomal RNA
Source: RNAcentral
CAAUAGCGUAUAUUAAAGUUGUUGCAGUUAAAAAGCUCGUAGUUGGAUUUCGGGGUGGCCUGCCUAGUCCACCGCAAGGUGAGUACUGGUCAGCCGCCCUUCCUCUCGAAAGCCCCGACUGCUCUUCAUUGCAGUGGUCGGGUAGUUCGGGACGUUUACUUUGAAAAAAUUAGAGUGUUCAAGGCAGGCUCUCGCCUGAAUACAUUAGCAUGGAAUAAUGGAAGAGGACCUCGGUCCUAUUUUGUUGGUUUCUAGGGCCGAAGUAAUGAUUAAGAGGGACAGUUGGGGGCAUUCGUAUUUAAUUGUCAGAGGUGAAAUUCUCGGAUUUAUGAAAGACGAACAACUGCGAAAGCAUUUGCCAAGGAUGUUUUCAUUAA